AAUUGUGUGAGGAGUAAUACGAACAAAAAAGCUCUUGGGGUCGAAACACGGCAAGACUCCCAAGAGCUUUUUUCACAA
RNAcentral lists this small RNA (78 nucleotides) under Gloeocapsa sp. PCC 7428. RNAcentral's name for it is "Cyano-1 RNA". It matches the Rfam family "Cyano-1 RNA". Lineage: Bacteria; Bacillati; Cyanobacteriota; Cyanophyceae; Chroococcidiopsidales; Chroococcidiopsidaceae. The record is from Rfam by way of RNAcentral.